GGCAGAGCCCUCAUGAAUGGGAUUAGUGCCUUUAUAAAAGAGACCCCAGAGAGCUCCCUCGUCCCCUUCCACCAUGUGAGGACACAGUGAAAAGACAGCCAUCUGUGAACUACCAGACGCUGAAUCUGCUGGCCUCUGGAUCUUGGACUUUCAGCCUCCAGAACUGUACGUGUGACCCCAGCCUGGCCAACCAAAGAAGCCCAGCCCCCUGGCCACAUUGAUUGAGCCAAGAGACGAGGACACAACUCGUCAGGUGCUCUCAGAGUCUUCUCUUGGCUUCAGACGCUGGAGGAGACUGUGGAGAGAGGAGAGGAGCCCCUCAGUUGGGAUGCUGUAAGCUUGCUGCAGUCUGACCGUGUGGAGUGAGACCGUCUACGGCGGAAGAACGUAUGGACACAUCUGAGACUGAACGUGACCUCUGGAGAACGCAAUGGAAGAGCAACUGCCACCCACUUCAGAGGCAUCUGCGGGCCCAGGAGGUUCCUGAGGAGGGGCAGGAGGAUGCCACAGCUGAGUCAGGGCCCUAAGAUUGGGCUUGGCUGCAGAUCUGGAGCAUCUAUCCAUCUGUCCGGGUGUCUAUCUGGCUGCUUGGGGCCCCCGAAGGGGCUAUUCCUGAACAAGAACCCUUCCCACUGACUCAUUUAACUAUUCUU
RNAcentral lists this long non-coding RNA (653 nucleotides) under Equus asinus (donkey). RNAcentral describes it as "lncRNA (ENSEASG00005037656.1)". The record is from RNAcentral. Lineage: Eukaryota; Metazoa; Chordata; Mammalia; Perissodactyla; Equidae.